UCUAGAAUCAUGUUGGCUGGCUUAAAUGGUCAAGGUCUUAGUUAAUGUGCAACGGUACAAGGGGCUUUCCCAGGGCGUAAGAGAAAAAAAAAAAAAAAAAGGGGUCAUCCAGAAUGAGAAGUACCCGGUUACCCGUGAACAAGGUUUGAGACUUCGUGUCAAAUCUGGGUGUGAGGUGUGGAUCCAAUCAAAAACCAUGUGCGUGACUCCAAAUCUUGCAAUGGAAUCUAACGGUCGCAGUA
Molecule: long non-coding RNA, 242 nt
Filed under: Elaeis guineensis (African oil palm)
Lineage: Eukaryota; Viridiplantae; Streptophyta; Magnoliopsida; Arecales; Arecaceae
Description: long non-coding RNA (EGUI_LNC076250)
Source: RNAcentral